Entelurus aequoreus (snake pipefish) is the source of this 6511-nucleotide RNA transcript. RefSeq lists it as uncharacterized. The record is from RefSeq and is a predicted model, not a curated record. The transcript has 7 exons. Lineage: Eukaryota; Metazoa; Chordata; Actinopteri; Syngnathiformes; Syngnathidae.
CCUUGCCCGUAUGUGGGCUCUGUACCGAGGAUGUCGUUGUGGCUUGUACAGCCCUUUGAGACACUUGUGAUUUAGGGCUAUAUAAAUAAACAUUGAUUGAUUGAUUGACAAUUAAAGGUAGAACACUAUUAACUGCAACAUGUAAGUGUAAAAAAACAACAUGAUUUGUUUAUUUUUGAGAAAUUCUAUUUUUAAACCAAGAAAACAAUCUGAAGUUGUCUUUAUUUUUAAGUUAUCGUGCCGUGAUUUUACCAGUCCGGCCCACUUGGGAGUAGAUUUUUCUCAAUGUGGCCCCCGAUCUAAAAUGAGUUUGACACCUCUGGCCUAGAUAAAUUGGUAAACAUCCUCACAAAUAUUGAUAUAAAGCAUUACCGUAUUUUCCGGACCAUAGGGCACACCGGAAUAUAAGGAGCACUGCCGAUGAAUGGUCUAUUUUUGAUCUUUUUUUCAUAUAUAAGGCGCACCGGAUUAUAAGGCGCAUUAAAGGAGUCAUAAUAUAUAUAUUUUUUUCUAAAUGUAAAAGACUUCCUUGGGGUCUACAUAACAUGUAAUGGUGGUUCUUUGCUCAAAAUGUUGCAUAGAUGAUGUUUUACACAUCAUCUUCAAGCCGCUUCCGGGUGCGCCGUUUUGUGGGCGGUCUUAUUUACGUGGCUCACCUUCGGCAGCGUCUUCUCCCCGUCAUCUUUGUUGUGAAGUGUCAAAAGAUGGAGCUAACUGUUUUAAUGACAUUCAGACUUUACUUCAAUCAAUAACGGAGCAGCAUCUCCUCAUCCAGAAACAACAACACCAGAAAUGUGUCCCGUGAAAAACCGUCCGACCAGAACUCUAAUAACUAAAGUUCCUUGGGUGAAUAAUGGUAACUCACUACACCGGUAUGUUUUAGGGCUUUCAUGGCGAGUUUACUGACUGAAAUAAGUAAUAACUUUACACUGCUUUUUAUUAGAAAUGGCAACAGCAGAGGAUGGAUGUCCCAUAACAAGAAGGUGGAGAAAAAGAAGAAGCUUAUCGACUACGGUGUCGGCACGGACUACAAAGGCGGACCUGCACAAAUUUUCAGGUACCAGAAGAUCAACACGACGAGAGAGACAUUCUGCCGCUAGACAAAGGUCACCGAGCAGCGACGAAGUUUGCAUUUUCGGUAGAGGUCCAGGGAGCCACGAGGGCGGUGCUAAAGAGACGCGGGUUGCUGACCCCCGGCCUACACCCUAGACUGGCCGCCAGUUCAUCACAGGACACAUGAACAAGCCUUCGCCCUCAAAUCAGAGAAAAACAACAACACCAGAAAUGUGUCCCGUGAAAAACCGUCCGACCAGAACUCUAAUAACUAAAGUUCCUUGGGUGAAUAAUGAAAUGGCAACAGCAGAGGAUGGAUGUCCCAUAACAAGAAGGUGGAGAAAAAGAAGAAGCUUAUCGACUACGGUGUCGGCACGGACUACAAAGGCGGACCUGCACAAAUUUUCAGGUACCAGAAGAUCAACACGACGAGAGAGACAUUCUGCCGCUAGACAAAGGUCACCGAGCAGCGACGAAGUUUGCAUUUUCGGUAGAGGUCCAGGGAGCCACGAGGGCGGUGCUAAAGAGACGCGGGUUGCUGACCCCCGGCCUACACCCUAGACUGGCCGCCAGUUCAUCACAGGACACAUGAACAAGCCUUCGCCCUCAAAUCAGAGAAGUAUUCAUUUACUCUAACAUGAUUUUUAUUCAGUUCAAUGCAUUUAUUGUCAUUGUCAUAGUGAAUAACACACACACUGCAUAGUAACCAUGUAUCAAAAAUGCGUUAGGUGGUGCAAUCCUGACCCAUGAAACGCGUAAACACAAAGGGUGCCACGAACGAUGCACAAAAUUCACAGUCUGGUAUGGAUCGGUACUUGAGCGGCGCCGUUCCAUACAUUUUUUCAAUACCCAAAAGAGGGAAAUGUUCAUGCCUUUUUUUUAACUUGUAGUUUAUUGAAAUUGUCGUUGUCCACGACAGAAAACGGUCGGCAAGGCGAGUUUAUUUACAGAGCACAGUUCGUACUACAGGCAGGCCAGUCUAGUACCCGCACUCUUUUACUACGAAGCCACGCUGUUGUAACACGUGCAGAAUGUGGCUCGGCGAUAUCUUACUGAAAUAAGCAGGGGCGGCCAUGAAAAAGACGUCGCUUGGAUGGCAACUUUUGUUGCUCCAAAACCUGUAUGUACCUUUCAGCAUUAAUGGUGCCUUCACAAACGUGUAAGUUACCCACUAAUACACCCCCAUAUCAUCAAUCUUUAUUGCAGACCUUAAGAUCCAUUUAAACAUAUAAAAACAGAAUAUAAUACAUUAAAAAACAAAACAAUAAAAACAUACAUUAAAAACAAAACAAAACAAGUUUUCCAUACAAUUACAGACGCUGGGUUUUCAACUUUGCGCCUAGAACAAUCCGGAUGGUUCUUUUCCUCUUUGGACCGGAGGACACGACGUCCACAGUUUCCAAAAACAAUUUGAAAUGUGGACUUGUCAGACCACAGAACACUUUUCCAGUUUGCAUCAGUACAUCUUAGAUGAGCUCGGGCCGAGCGAAGCCGGCGGCGUUUGUGGGUGUUGUUGAUAAAUGGCAUUCGCUUUGCAUUGUAGAGUUUUAACUUGCACUUACAGAUGUAGCGACGAACUGUAGUUACUGACAGUGGUUUUCUGAAGUGUUCCUGAGUCCAUGUGGUGAUAUCCUUUACACACUGAUGUCGCUUUUUGAUGCAGUACCAACACAAAUACAACUUUGAAACUACGUGCUUUCUGAGAAGAUUACCGUAGUAACUAGUAUAUCAUGCAAAAGCGCAGAUUCCAACCAAUCAGUCCAUCUCAGAUGAGCUCGGGCCGAGCGAAGCCAGCGGCGUUUCUGGGUGUUGUUGCAUUUAUCAACAACACCCAGAAACGCAGAGUUUUGAGGACGAAAAUGAAUUGAUACCAUUUUAGAAUAAGGCGGUAACAUAGCAAAAUGUGGCAAAAAAUGAAGCGCUGUGAAUACUUUCCGGAUGCAGUGUACAGUAUAAAGGGCAGAUCAAUAGAAGUGAUAAUUAGACGUUGCAGUUCAUGGGUGGGAUGUGAGAGAGGGUCACUGCCUGAGGAUACAGACGAGCUGUUGGCAAGUUGUCCUGGCACGUAUAGACCUGUUCCUUCUACCUGAGGGCCGCAGGUGAGGAGCAGGGUGUUGUUGGUCACGCAGGAUGCUGUGCACUCGCCUCAGACAGCAGGUAGUGUAGACUGUGCCCAUCUCUGGAAGACUUGAUUUUUUUUCAGCUGUUUUAAUCACCGAUUAGAGAGUCUGCUGUCAUGGCACACUUAUAAAAGCUCACUCUUACACAAGGAAGCGGAGUCAUUCAUUGCGCUUUACCUGACACAUGAAACGUGACAAAUACGAUCGCUGAGAUGAAACGGAUCAGGCCCGUGAACAGGUUCUAUCCGGAUGAAUUUGCUAAGUAUACAAAUGAGCUGAAAUUUUUUAUGAAAGAAACUGCUGUUUUAAAUGUGUCCACUAGAUGUGGCAAUGGCAAUUCUUUGUAUCUGUGUAGAUGAUGCGACAUACAGUAUGUACAAAAAAAAUAAAACACAUGAUGUUAGUGCAACAGUCGAAGAAAAUUAGCAAACUACAUAAAUAACAUCCUGUAAUUUGAUUUUGAUAUUUUUUUUUUUAUCUUGUUAGAUUGAAAAUGAACACCAAUGAGUUGACUGAUGAACAUUAUCACGUCAUUUAUUCAGAAAGUAUAAAUAACGACAAUUAAAGGUAGAACACUAUUAACUGCAACAUGUAAGUGUAAAAAAAACAACACGAUUUGUUUAUUUUUGAGAAAUUCUAUUUUUAAACAAAGAAAACAAUCUGAAGUUGUCUUUAUUUUUAAGUUAUCGUGCCGUGAUUUUAACAGUCCGGCCCACUUGGGAGUAGAUUUUUCUCAAUGUGGCCCCCGAUCUAAAAUGAGUUUGACACCUCUGGCCUAGAUAAAUUGGUAAACAUCCUCACAAAUAUUGAUAUAAAGCAUUACCGUAUUUUCCGGACCAUAGGGCACACCGGAAUAUAAGGAGCACUGCCGAUGAAUGGUCUAUUUUUGAUCUUUUUUUCAUAUAUAAGGCGCACCGGAUUAUAAGGCGCAUUAAAGGAGUCAUAAUAUAUAUAUUUUUUUCUAAAUGUAAAAGACUUCCUUGGGGUCUACAUAACAUGUAAUGGUGGUUCUUUGCUCAAAAUGUUGCAUAGAUGAUGUUUUACACAUCAUCUUCAAGCCGCUUCCGGGUGCGCCGUUUUGUGGGCGGUCUUAUUUACGUGGCUCACCUUCGGCAGCGUCUUCUCCCCGUCAUCUUUGUUGUGAAGUGUCAAAAGAUGGAGCUAACUGUUUUAAUGACAUUCAGACUUUACUUCAAUCAAUAACGGAGCAGCAUCUCCUCAUCCAGAAACAACAACACCAGAAAUGUGUCCCGUGAAAAACCGUCCGACCAGAACUCUAAUAACUAAAGUUCCUUGGGUGAAUAAUGGUAACUCACUACACCGGUAUGUUUUAGGGCUUUCAUGGCGAGUUUACUGACUGAAAUAAGUAAUAACUUUACACUGCUUUUUAUUAGAAAUGGCAACAGCAGAGGAUGGAUGUCCCAUAACAAGAAGGUGGAGAAAAAGAAGAAGCUUAUCGACUACGGUGUCGGCACGGACUACAAAGGCGGACCUGCACAAAUUUUCAGGUACCAGAAGGUAAGAAAAGUUUCUUUUGCAUAAUAUUGCGAAACAAAACACCAGAAAAUAUGUCUUACCUUAUACACACACCAUAAUAAUACUCCUAUGUUGAAGCACAGUACAAUCCAUCAAGCGGUGCAGUUUCAUAGCUGACCAAAGUCCUACUAAAACAUUUUGAUAGAUUUUUGAGCGCCGUGUGUAAUGUUCUAUAUUUUCAAGGGAGCAUAUACAAUGUUGGUGUUGUUUACUUGAGUCAUAUUGCGGUCUACACGAAAUCAAAUCAAAUCAAUAAUGGAGCAGCAUCUCCUCAUCCGGAAACAACCACACCGGAAAUGUGUCCCGUGAAAAACCGUUCAAUCGGAGCUCUCUAAUAACUAAACUUCCUUGGGUGAAUAAUGUAAACUCACUACACCGGUAUGUUUUAGCGCUUUCAUGGCAAGUUUACUGACAGAUAUAAGUGAGAACUUGACACUACUUUAUAUUAGAAAUGGCAACAGCGGAGGAUGAAUGUCACAUAACAAGAAGAUAGAGAAAAAGAAGAAGCUUAUUAACUACAAAGGCGGACACACAAUUUUUCAGGACUCAUGCAGAUCCCAAAUACAGAUCAGCAGGUACCAGAAGUUAAGAAAAGUUGCAUAAUAUUGCGAAACAAAACGCCAGAUAAUGUCUUACCUUAUACACACACCAUAAUAAUAGUCGUAUGUUUAAUGCGCCGACAAUCCUUCAAGCGGUGCGGCUUCAUAGCUGACCAAAGUCGUGCUAAAACAUUUUGAUAGAUUUUUGAGCGCCGUGUCUAAUGUUCUAUAUUUUCAACGGAACAUUUAAAAUGUUGCUGUUGUUUACUUAAAACCCAUCAUAGUGCAGGCUACAUGUAUCUCUUAUGUUUGACUGCCAUCUACUGCUCACACUUAUAAUUACACCAUAUACCAAAUAAAAUAGCCUCGAGGUGGGUAAGCUCAACCAAACUUGUUCAUUACAUUAGGCGCAACUGUGUAAGGCGCACUGAGAAAUAAAAAAGGAUUUUAAAUGCGCCUUAUAGUCCGGAAAUUACGGUAAACGCAUUGGCCAAAAAGUGCAUUGUGUGUCCUCGCCGCGAUCUAUUUUACAUUGUUGAAAUGUCGGCAAAGCAAAUGUGAGUAUGUGAAGAACGAACCUGGAGUGAAACAGCGCACAAUUCAACGUCAAGUUCGGUCUCGAUACCUUUCAUCUUUACCAUGGAAAAAAGGACGUACGCCAGGUUUUUGUGCAUAAGCACAACAUAACACGAGGCCCCUGCUGAAUUGGGAUCUGGUCACCCUUAGAUAUAGAGCAGUGGGAAAAGUGGAAGUGUGCCUGCUAACUCUCACAUGCUGUGUGAUUUGAUAAUAACAUAAAAAAAGUCCACAAUCCAAUUUCACAGUGUGAUGUUCAGUCAAAGGUCGUGCACUUUGGAUCCUAUUAAAAGUUCAAAUGGACCGAGAGCACCCUCGCAUAAUGUAGGUGCACGGUGGUGAUGAUGGCGGUGGCAAAUUAAUAUGUACAGUACAGUACAUUAUUACCUUUUUAACACUAAAUUACAAAAAAAAAAAUGUUUUGCUAAAAUGUCGUAAGGGGGGACCCUUACAAAAAAUUCCAAAAAACGGACUUGCUUCAGCAGCACAAUUCUGGUGCUGUAGUUGUAGGAGAUGUCUAAAAAAGGUCAUCAGGAGUCCCGACAAAUCCCGAAAUUGGCAGAAAAUGCUUUUUUUGGGAAACCUUUUUUUCGCAAAAAAAAAUUCCAAAAAACGGACUUGCUUCAGCAGCACAAUUCUGGUGCUGUAGUUGUAGGAGAUGUCUCAAAACGUCAUCAGGAGUCCUGA